Molecule: non-coding RNA, 82 nt
Organism: Flavobacterium sp. AED
Lineage: Bacteria; Pseudomonadati; Bacteroidota; Flavobacteriia; Flavobacteriales; Flavobacteriaceae
Source: Rfam
UUUUAGCCCUGAUUGCAACGAAAAUCCUUUUUAUGCGCCUUUUCGGUAAAUAAAAAGAUUGCAGCGGAAAGCAGGAAAUAGC